Molecule: ribosomal RNA, 1513 nt
Filed under: Cutibacterium acnes HL036PA1
Lineage: Bacteria; Bacillati; Actinomycetota; Actinomycetes; Propionibacteriales; Propionibacteriaceae
Also listed under: 1 other name
Description: 16S ribosomal RNA
Rfam family: Bacterial small subunit ribosomal RNA
Source: RNAcentral
AGAGUUUGAUCCUGGCUCAGGACGAACGCUGGCGGCGUGCUUAACACAUGCAAGUCGAACGGAAAGGCCCUGCUUUUGUAGGGUGCUCGAGUGGCGAACGGGUGAGUAACACGUGAGUAACCUGCCCUUGACUUUGGGAUAACUUCAGGAAACUGGGGCUAAUACCGGAUAGGAGCUCCUGCUGCAUGGUGGGGGUUGGAAAGUUUCGGCGGUUGGGGAUGGACUCGCGGCUUAUCAGCUUGUUGGUGGGGUAGUGGCUUACCAAGGCUUUGACGGGUAGCCGGCCUGAGAGGGUGACCGGCCACAUUGGGACUGAGAUACGGCCCAGACUCCUACGGGAGGCAGCAGUGGGGAAUAUUGCACAAUGGGCGGAAGCCUGAUGCAGCAACGCCGCGUGCGGGAUGACGGCCUUCGGGUUGUAAACCGCUUUCGCCUGUGACGAAGCGUGAGUGACGGUAAUGGGUAAAGAAGCACCGGCUAACUACGUGCCAGCAGCCGCGGUGAUACGUAGGGUGCGAGCGUUGUCCGGAUUUAUUGGGCGUAAAGGGCUCGUAGGUGGUUGAUCGCGUCGGAAGUGUAAUCUUGGGGCUUAACCCUGAGCGUGCUUUCGAUACGGGUUGACUUGAGGAAGGUAGGGGAGAAUGGAAUUCCUGGUGGAGCGGUGGAAUGCGCAGAUAUCAGGAGGAACACCAGUGGCGAAGGCGGUUCUCUGGGCCUUUCCUGACGCUGAGGAGCGAAAGCGUGGGGAGCGAACAGGCUUAGAUACCCUGGUAGUCCACGCUGUAAACGGUGGGUACUAGGUGUGGGGUCCAUUCCACGGGUUCCGUGCCGUAGCUAACGCUUUAAGUACCCCGCCUGGGGAGUACGGCCGCAAGGCUAAAACUCAAAGGAAUUGACGGGGCCCCGCACAAGCGGCGGAGCAUGCGGAUUAAUUCGAUGCAACGCGUAGAACCUUACCUGGGUUUGACAUGGAUCGGGAGUGCUCAGAGAUGGGUGUGCCUCUUUUGGGGUCGGUUCACAGGUGGUGCAUGGCUGUCGUCAGCUCGUGUCGUGAGAUGUUGGGUUAAGUCCCGCAACGAGCGCAACCCUUGUUCACUGUUGCCAGCACGUUAUGGUGGGGACUCAGUGGAGACCGCCGGGGUCAACUCGGAGGAAGGUGGGGAUGACGUCAAGUCAUCAUGCCCCUUAUGUCCAGGGCUUCACGCAUGCUACAAUGGCUGGUACAGAGAGUGGCGAGCCUGUGAGGGUGAGCGAAUCUCGGAAAGCCGGUCUCAGUUCGGAUUGGGGUCUGCAACUCGACCUCAUGAAGUCGGAGUCGCUAGUAAUCGCAGAUCAGCAACGCUGCGGUGAAUACGUUCCCGGGGCUUGUACACACCGCCCGUCAAGUCAUGAAAGUUGGUAACACCCGAAGCCGGUGGCCUAACCGUUGUGGGGGAGCCGUCGAAGGUGGGACUGGUGAUUAGGACUAAGUCGUAACAAGGUAGCCGUACCGGAAGGUGCGGCUGGAUCACCU